UAACAAGGAUUCCCCUAGUAACUGCGAGUGAAGUGGGAAAAGCUCAAAUUUAAAAUCUGGCAGAUUUUUGUCUGUCCGAGUUGUAACCUAGAGAAGUGUAACCUGUGCUGGACCGUGUACAAGUCUCCUGGAAUGGAGCAUCAUAGAGGGUGAGAAUCCCGUCUUUGACAUGGACUACCAGUGCACUGUGGUUGCGCACUCGACGAGUCGAGUUGUUUGGGAAUGCAGCUCUAAAUGGGUGGUAAAUUCCAUCUAAAGCUAAAUAUUGGCGAGAGACCGAUAGCGAACAAGUACCGUGAGGGAAAGAUGAAAAGAACUUUGGAAAGAGAGUUAAACAGUAUGUGAAAUUGUUGAAAGGGAAACGCUUGAAGUCAGCUGCAUUGGCUGGGGAUCAAGCCAGCUUAUUUGCUGGGUGUACUUCCUGGUUGAUGGGCCAACAUCAGUUUUGACCAUCAGAGAAAGGCCAAGGGAAUGUGGCACCUUUAUAGGUGUGUUAUAGCCCUUGGUUGUAUGUGGUGGUUGGGACUGAGGAUAGCAGCGUGCCACAAGGCUGGGUUUCGACCACGUUCACGCUUGGGAUGUUGGCAUAAUGGCUUUAAGCGAC
Molecule: ribosomal RNA, 604 nt
Filed under: Amanita pallidorosea
Lineage: Eukaryota; Fungi; Basidiomycota; Agaricomycetes; Agaricales; Amanitaceae
Description: eukaryotic LSU rRNA
Rfam family: Eukaryotic large subunit ribosomal RNA
Source: RNAcentral